RNAcentral lists this ribosomal RNA (444 nucleotides) under uncultured bacterium. Its description in RNAcentral is "partial 16S ribosomal RNA". It matches the Rfam family "Bacterial small subunit ribosomal RNA", at positions 354 to 796 of the family's 1533-position model. The record is from RNAcentral.
GUGAGGAAUAUUGGUCAAUGGGCGGGAGCCUGAACCAGCCAAGUCGCGUGAAGGAAGAAGGAUCUAUGGUUCGUAAACUUCUUUUGCAGGGGAAUAAAUGCGGGACGUGUCCUGUUUUGUAUGUACCCUGAGAAUAAGGAUCGUCUAACUCCGUGCCAGCAGCCGCGGUAAUACGGAGGAUCCGAGCGUUAUCCGGAUUUAUUGGGUUUAAAGGGUGCGUAGGUGGUUUGAUAAGUCAGCGGUGAAAGUUUGCAGCUUAACUGUAAAAAUGCCGUUGAAACUGUCGGACUUGAGUGUAAAUGAGGUAGGCGGAAUGCGUGGUGUAGCGGUGAAAUGCAUAGAUAUCACGCAGAACUCCGAUUGCGAAGGCAGCUUACUAAGCUACAACUGACACUGAAGCACGAAAGCGUGGGGAUCAAACAGGAUUAGAAACCCCGGUAGUCC